Molecule: long non-coding RNA, 340 nt
Organism: Gopherus flavomarginatus (Mexican gopher tortoise)
Lineage: Eukaryota; Metazoa; Chordata; Testudines; Testudinidae
Exons: 3
Source: RefSeq, a predicted model, not a curated record
GCAGAUUGAGGGGGGCCCAUUCAAGCCUUUGGACGUUGCAACAACUGGAUAUGGCUUUCCAAGGAGCCACAGGAUGUUUCACUAGACUGACUGCCAGCAUUUCCAUGGAAACCCCCAAAAAUAAAGACUUUCCCAGCCUUGUGAGAACACACCUGCAAGAACCAGAAUCACAUUUCGCCUUUGGCCUCUCAAAAGUGACACUCCUCCAUUUUAGUGUCACCUAAGGACAUUUGUUUUUACACAAGGAAUAUCUUUAGAUCAUCUCCAUGCCAGUUAAGUGGAACCCCUGCCUAUACACUGCUUGCUGGGAUCAUAGGCAAAGCCAAGACUUUCAAAGAUC